UUUCUGUGUGUUCUAUCUCUGAUCUAUGUGUCUAUUUAGUCAACGAAUAUUUAUCAAGGGCGUGAGCCACCACGCCAUGCCGGGACUUGGUCUUGUUCACAGGUCUAGAACAGUGCCUAACACAUAGCUGGGGCACAGUAAAUGCUGAGAGAAUGCAUGUGUUGUCGGGAGGUCACUUCUGAGGAGGCAAGUCUUAAACGAGGCUAGCAAGGAUGGUCAGCCGCUUCCAGAGCUUGGGAAGAGUGUUCUUGGUGGACGGAACAGUGUAGUCUUGUUGGUAACCACUUGCCUCUGGCUCUCUGUGCCUGGAGAAUAGUGUUUCUGUGUCUUUUUUGUUUGUAGUCUGUGAUCCUGGGAGCCCUGGGGCCAGUUUAAACAGGGCCCCAUCAGGGUCUCUGGAAGUGAGGUCACUGCCCAACAGAUUCACCCCACUGGCUAACUCUGGCUUAACUGGCUGGGCCUGGCCAUUCCCCUGGAAGCAACUCCUCCCCACAACAGCAUCAGUCCCACGACCUCUGGCUCCUUCCCAGGGCAGCAUCCUGCAGUCCGGAAGGAAGUUCUUCGUCCUGUCUAACCACAGACCCCGCUGAGGCAACCCCAGCCUUUUCCUCUUAUUCUGCCUUGUGGGCAGAAGGGAGGAGAUGGGCUGACCCUUCAGCAACGGGUCCUGGCCUAGACGGAGAGCCC
Molecule: long non-coding RNA, 687 nt
Organism: Homo sapiens (human)
Lineage: Eukaryota; Metazoa; Chordata; Mammalia; Primates; Hominidae
Source: Ensembl